Non-coding RNA from Paramuricea clavata, 316 nucleotides. NCBI's taxonomy places the organism in Eukaryota, Metazoa, Cnidaria, Anthozoa, Malacalcyonacea, Plexauridae. The record is from the annotation of a GenBank genome assembly.
CUAUUUUCUAAACGUUAUCUAGGGUAUCUCGUAAAUAAUAAACCUUUGUGAAAUAUCUUUGCGCAAUGGUCACAAAUACAUCACAUUGAUAUAAAUCAUUCCAUCAGACAAUAUAUACAUACAUCAAUAUAUAGUUAUUUUAAUUAUAUACAUUUUGUGUCUGUAUAAUACACCCUCUAUAUAUUCCGGCAUAUAUAUCCUCUAACAAGUAACGAGUUCGCAAAGUUUGUUUUGUCCAUAUAUUCUAAUAUUUAUCGCAACUAGCUAUAUGUGGGCUUAUCCGUGAUAAAUGUAUAUAAUUAAAAUAACUAUAUAU